Molecule: ribosomal RNA, 2352 nt
Filed under: Triticum aestivum (bread wheat)
Lineage: Eukaryota; Viridiplantae; Streptophyta; Magnoliopsida; Poales; Poaceae
Description: partial small subunit ribosomal RNA
Source: RNAcentral
CGACACUAUUCAUUCGCCAGAGUUUGCGGUUUCUUCUUCCCCUCUCGCUCGCUGAAAUCGCCCCCAAAUCCACCCGUUGCCGCUGCCCAAAUUCGCCUCGCCGCUGCCCAAAUCGGUGCUCUCGAGCGGGGUUCGGCAUCGCAGGGGGUCGCCGGUUGGAGUUGUUGUCCCGCACGGCACGCUGGCCGCGGGGAGCGGCUCUCGCUCGCGAGCUCGGCGACCGUGCAAUGCUCGACUCGCGGGGUGGGGGACUGUUGCGAAGUGAGAUUGCCCUCAUUUUGUGCGGUUGCGAAGGAAGGAGACGGUACUGCGACGCGAAGGUAAAGAUGACUAAACCAAGUAAAAAGUGUGAUCGACAGCAGUCAGCAGAGUCAUCGCUUGACUCGGNNNNNNNNNNNNNNNNNNNNNNNNNNNNNNNNNNNNNNNNNGUACCUAUAGCAGAGGAGCAAGGUGUUUCAACAGGUCAUGUUUACAAACGCAAGCGCCAGAAAUUGGUCAUAACCCGGGGGAAGCGGCCUGCGGAUAUUGGAAGUAACGAAGAAGAACCAGUAGGAGAUGUCAAUGAAGCUGAUGUUACACAAGAUGCAGAACAAAAGAAAAAACGACGAAAAGUGACUGAAAAUGAGGGUCCUAGGAACAGGUCAUCACCUACGAGGCUUUUUAAGUUGAACAAGGAUCUUGUCAAAGACCAAAAAAGUAUUAUCAGAGGCAUAGACUUUGGGGGCUUGUUGGAUAUCACAACUACAAGCAUGCCCGGUGAUCUCAGACAGUGGAUCAUGAAACACUACGACCCAGAAAAGUCUCAAAUUGUUAUACCAGAUAGAGGCAAAAUACCAGUGGAUGCAGAAAGUGUUAGGAGGAUUUGGGGUUUGCCCAACAGUGGCAGGAAAGUAUGUUUUGAAAUGAAUCCAGAUGUUAUAAGGGAAUUCAACAGUAUUUUCAAGAUCGAGGGAAAAAUGCCCCUACAUUGACUUCAUGGUGUAAAAUGAUUGUGAAGAUGAAUGGGGCGUCCGAUGACAUUUUCCUCCAUGCUUGGUUGGCCGUGGCAUUCUCCUGCUUCCUUGCCCCAACCACAAGCUUGAGCAUCUCACCAAGGUGUUACACUGCUAUUCUUCACACAAGUGCUAUAAAAGACACCAAGAUAUGCGACUUUGUUAUUGAUCAACUUAGAUUGGCAUUCAUGGGUUUUGGUGACAAGAAGAAGGUUGUUUGCUAUUGUGUUUUCCAUCUAGUUAUUUUGUAUCUGGAUUCAUUGGAUGUUGAUGAACCAAUAACUGCUACACUUCCAAGGGCACGCAUUUGGAAUGCUGAUCUAAUAACCAAAGUGAUGCGGAGCAUCCCUCGACUACCCGCACCGACACUCCAUCACCACUGCAAGCACCGAGAGGACCAAUGACAAGAGCACAUGCACGUGACAUCGAGAACGAGGUCAAUUCUAUCCUCUUUGAGUUUCGUUUGGUUUCACAUGAAAAUUAGAUCCUACCUCAAAGAGACUCGCUAUGCAUUCUUAGGCACCAAGAAGAUGAUCGUGAGAAGGAGAAGACGGAGACUCGAGCAUCCACGGAGCAAGGGAGAGGAGAGGAGAACAAGAAGAAUGAAGGAGAGAAGCUCUUGGACACGCCGGGUGCCUGGACGAAAGGACCCCGGGUGCCCGGACACGAAGACUUGGGGAGGUCUGAACCCCCUGGACAUCCCGGGUGCCCGGCCUCUGCCUGGGCUGCACCCAAGCCGGCUCCGGGUGCCCGGGCACACGGCCCCGGGUGCCCGGGCACAUGGCCCCGGGUGCCCGACCCACCUCUUGGGCCUCGCUCAGCCUGCCCCAGGUGCCCCGCUAACCGGCCCCGGCUGCCCGACCCUUGCCCACCAGCCGCUGGGCGCCACCCCGGGUGCCCGGCCAGCCCCUGACCUGGCCGGGUGCCCGGCUCCUUCGCCACCGGGUGCCCGGUCCCGCUCGAGCGUAGGUCUUUGACCGGUCCGGGUGCCUGGCCGGUUCCUCCCCGGGUGCCCGAACCCUUCUUCCGUGGCCACACAUUUUAGGACUUUUUGGUCUUUUGUACCCCUCUUUCUCCUAGUUUCGUCCCUAGCCUUUAUAUACUUAUCUCCUAGCUCAUUUGGAAGGUUAGCAAAGUAUUAGAUAAAACAUUGAGAGCUUUGCUCCUUGUAUCCCCUCCUCUUGGAGAUCAAGACCCCUCUUGGGAAGAAUCCUUGUGGAUUGCAAGACCUCCCGAGGGAGUAGAUCAUCAUCAAGACUUCACCUCCUCUAGGAGUGGGAAGAACUUUACCUAGUGCUUGUUUCCUUGGAUUGAUCUUGUAAUCUUGUGGUUCUCAUGUAUGCUACUCUAGUGGAUGUGA